GUGGCUGGGGCUCAGUGGCAGAGUGCUCACCUAGCAUGUGUGAGGCACUGAGUUCGAUCCUCAGCACCACA
This 71-nucleotide transfer RNA is filed under the name Marmota marmota marmota (Alpine marmot). It matches the Rfam family "tRNA". From Rfam's summary of the family: Transfer RNA (tRNA) molecules are approximately 80 nucleotides in length. RNAcentral also lists the same sequence under 1 other name. Lineage: Eukaryota; Metazoa; Chordata; Mammalia; Rodentia; Sciuridae. The record is from Rfam by way of RNAcentral.